Molecule: ribosomal RNA, 416 nt
Filed under: uncultured Pseudomonas sp.
Lineage: Bacteria; Pseudomonadati; Pseudomonadota; Gammaproteobacteria; Pseudomonadales; Pseudomonadaceae
Description: bacterial SSU rRNA
Rfam family: Bacterial small subunit ribosomal RNA
Source: RNAcentral
UGAGUAAUGCCUAGGAAUCUGCCUGAUAGUGGGGGACAGCGUUUCGAAAGGAACGCUAAUACCGCAAACGUCCUACGGGAGAAAGCAGGGGACCUUCGGGCCUUGCGCUAUCACAUGAGCCUAGGUCGGAUUAGCUAGAUUGGUGGGGUAAUGGCUCACCAAGGCGACGAUCCGUAACUGGUCUGAGAGGAUGAUCAGUCACACUGGAACUGAGACACGGUCCAGACUCCUACAGGAGGCAGCAAUGGGGAAUAUUGGACAAUGGGCGAAAGCCUGAUCCAGCCAUGCCGCGUGUGUGAAGAAGGUCUUCGGAUUGUAAAGCACUUUAAGUUGGGAGGAAGGGCAGUAAGCGAAUACCUUGCUGUUUUGACGUUACCGACAGAAUAAGCACCGGCUAACUCUGUGCCAGCAGCCGC